GCUUCUUGAGGUGGUCAAUUGCGGCAACCACACACCUAUUUAUAGGGAUAAGAGAUCCAAGGACAGCCGGACUUGGCAAGAGGC
This 84-nucleotide non-coding RNA is filed under the name unclassified sequences. Its description in RNAcentral is "skipping-rope RNA". It matches the Rfam family "skipping-rope RNA". From Rfam's summary of the family: Firmicutes, Fusobacteria, AlphaProteobacteria, Spirochaetes. Downstream gene The record is from Rfam by way of RNAcentral.